This 72-nucleotide transfer RNA is filed under the name Myxococcaceae bacterium. Its description in RNAcentral is "tRNA-Met". It matches the Rfam family "tRNA". From Rfam's summary of the family: Transfer RNA (tRNA) molecules are approximately 80 nucleotides in length. Their secondary structure includes four short double-helical elements and three loops (D, anti-codon, and T loops). Lineage: Bacteria; Pseudomonadati; Myxococcota; Myxococcia; Myxococcales; Myxococcaceae. The record is from RNAcentral.
UGCGGGGUUGAGGAGCGGCUCCCUCACCUGGCUCAUAACCCGGGCACGCUGGUUCGAAUCCAGCCUCCGCAA